This 112-nucleotide ribosomal RNA is filed under the name Erwinia aphidicola. Lineage: Bacteria; Pseudomonadati; Pseudomonadota; Gammaproteobacteria; Enterobacterales; Erwiniaceae. The record is from RNAcentral. RNAcentral also lists the same sequence under 4 other names.
UGGCGGCUUUAGCGCGGUGGUCCCACCUGACCCCAUGCCGAACUCAGAAGUGAAACGCCGUAGCGCCGAUGGUAGUGUGGGGCCUCCCCAUGCGAGAGUAGGGAACUGCCAG